GACGAACGCUGGCGGCGUGCUUAACACAUGCAAGUCGAGCGGUAAGGCCCUUUCGGGGUACACGAGCGGCGAACGGGUGAGUAACACGUGGGUGACCUGCCCUCAGCUCUGGGAUAAGCCUGGGAAACCGGGUCUAAUACUGGAUAUGACUCCAUGACGCAUGUUGUGGGGUGGAAAGCCUUGUGCGGCUGAGGAUGGGCCCGCGGCCUAUCAGCUUGUUGGGUGGGGUGAGGGCCUACCAAGGCGACGACGGGUAGCCGGCCUGAGAGGGCGACCGGCCACACUGGGACUGAGACACGGCCCAGACUCCUACGGGAGGCAGCAGUGGGGAAUCUUGCGCAAUGGGCGAAAGCCUGACGCAGCGACGCCGCGUGAGGGAUGACGGCC
RNAcentral lists this ribosomal RNA (387 nucleotides) under uncultured bacterium. RNAcentral describes it as "bacterial SSU rRNA". It matches the Rfam family "Bacterial small subunit ribosomal RNA", at positions 28 to 416 of the family's 1533-position model. The record is from RNAcentral.